Molecule: long non-coding RNA, 813 nt
Filed under: Marmota monax (woodchuck)
Lineage: Eukaryota; Metazoa; Chordata; Mammalia; Rodentia; Sciuridae
Source: RNAcentral
UUUCCUUAUGCCUGUGAUCUCAGUGGCUCGGGAGGCUGAGGCAGGAGGAUCGUGAGUUCAAAGGCAGCCUCAGCAAUGGCAAAGUGCUGAGCAACUUAGUGAGAUCCUGUUUCUAAAUAAAAUACAAAUAGGGCUGGGGAUGUGGCUCAGUGGUUGAGGUUCAAUCCUCAAAAAAAAAAAAAGGAUUCCCUUUUUCUCACAUCCAUGCCAAUAUUUAUUAUGUCCUUUCUUUCUGAUAAUAGCCAACUUAAGUAUUAUGAGGUAGUGUCUUCAUGGUUCUGAUUUACAUUUCCCUAAUGAUUAGUGAUGUGGAGCAACUUUUCAUGUGCCUGUAAGCCAUUUGUAUGGCAUCUUUGGAAGAAUAUUUAUUGAGGUCCUUUGCCCAUUUUUAAUAGGAUUUUUGCUGUUGAGUUUUAAGAGGUCUUAGUAUAUUAUAGAUAUUAACCCCUUGUCAGAUAUGAUUUGCAAAUAUUUUGUCCCAUUAUGCUUUUUGUUGAUUUUUUGCUGUGCAGAAGCUUUUUGGUUUGAUAUGUACUUCCACUUGUUUGCUUUUGUUGCCUGUGCUUUUGGUAUCUAUCUAAACAAUCAUUGCCAACACUAGUAUCAAGAAGCAUAUUCUUUUUUUUUUAAGUUGUAGUUGGACAUAAUAGCUUUAUUUAUUUAUUUUUUCCAGUACAUAAACAUGCCACAGCUGCAGACAGCUAAGGAUCAAAUCCAGGGCCUCACACGUGGUAGGUGAACACUCUACCACUAAGCCAAAACCCCAGCCCCAAGAAGCAUAUUCUUUAUAUGUUUUAUACAUAUGUACAAUAG